AAAUAUAAUAGUAAUAACGAUGAUAAUAAUAAUUGCGCGUAUAUUUGUAUACGAGUGUAUACGGACACGUGAACGCGAAAUGUGAUUUACGACCGUGCGGAGUUGGCGCUGAACAUCGUCGUCGCCGUCGCCACCGCCACCGCCACUGCCUUUUUCUCGUGUACAAUACGAACGGCUUUUUCGAAGCGGUCGCGUAUUUUCCGCGGACGAACCAGA
This is a non-coding RNA of Cinara cedri, 216 nucleotides long. The record is from the annotation of a GenBank genome assembly. NCBI's taxonomy places the organism in Eukaryota, Metazoa, Arthropoda, Insecta, Hemiptera, Aphididae.